Molecule: ribosomal RNA, 524 nt
Filed under: uncultured Limnohabitans sp.
Lineage: Bacteria; Pseudomonadati; Pseudomonadota; Betaproteobacteria; Burkholderiales; Comamonadaceae
Description: bacterial SSU rRNA
Rfam family: Bacterial small subunit ribosomal RNA
Source: RNAcentral
AGAGUUUGAUCCUGGCUCAGAUUGAACGCUGGCGGAAUGCUUUACACAUGCAAGUCGAACGGCAGCACGGACUUCGGUCUGGUGGCGAGUGGCGAACGGGUGAGUAAUAUAUCGGAACGUGCCCAGUCGUGGGGGAUAACGUAGUGAAAAUUACGCUAAUACCGCAUACGAUCUAAGGAUGAAAGCGGGGGAUCGCAAGACCUCGCGCGAUUGGAGCGGCCGAUAUCAGAUUAGGUAGUUGGUAGGGUAAAGGCCUACCAAGCCAACGAUCUGUAGCUGGUCUGAGAGGACGACCAGCCACACUGGAACUGAGACACGGUCCAGACUCCUACGGGAGGCAGCAGUGGGGAAUUUUGGACAAUGGGCGAAAGCCUGAUCCAGCCAUUCCGCGUGCAGGAUGAAGGCCCUCGGGUUGUAAACUGCUUUUGUACAGAACGAAAAGGUCUCUACUAAUACUAGGGGCUCAUGACGGUACUGUAAGAAUAAGCACCGGCUAACUACGUGCCAGCCGCCGCGGUAAUACA